GACGAACGCUGGCGGCGUGCUUAACACAUGCAAGUCGAACGGAAAGGCUCCAGCUUGCUGGAGUACUCGAGUGGCGAACGGGUGAGUAACACGUGGGUAAUCUGCCCUGCACUCUGGGAUAAGCCUGGGCAACUGGGACUAAUACUUGAUAUGACCUUUCGCCUUAUGGGGUUUUGUGGAACGUUUUGCGGUAUAGGAUGCGCCCGCGGCCUAUCUGCUUGUUGGGGGGGUGAUGGCCUACGAAGGCGAAGACUGGUAGCCGGCCUGAGAGGGUCAACAGGCACAUGGGUACUGCGGUACGGCCCAGACGGCAACGGGAGGCAGCAGGGGGGAAUAUUGCACAAUGGGCGGAAGUCUGAUGCAGCGACGCCGCGUGAGGGAUGACGGCCUUCGGGUUGUGAACCUCUUUCAGCAGGGACGAAGCGUAAGUGACGGUACCUGCAGAAGAAGCACCGGCUAACUACGUG
Molecule: ribosomal RNA, 467 nt
Filed under: uncultured bacterium
Lineage: Bacteria
Description: partial 16S ribosomal RNA
Rfam family: Bacterial small subunit ribosomal RNA
Source: RNAcentral